Molecule: long non-coding RNA, 501 nt
Filed under: Lathyrus oleraceus (garden pea)
Lineage: Eukaryota; Viridiplantae; Streptophyta; Magnoliopsida; Fabales; Fabaceae
Description: Pisum sativum (pea) long non-coding RNA (PSAT_LNC029646)
Source: RNAcentral
UUUUAAAAAACUGAUAAAAAUUCUUCAUAAAAGGUUCAUGAGGCGUUAAGAACAUCAACACAGUAAGAGACCUUCUCAAAAAACAGAAACCAAAACAAUAAUAGAAUACACAGCGAGAGAGACAUCACAGUAAGAGACCUUCUCAAAAAACAGAAACCAAAACAACAAUAGAAUACACAGCGAGAGAGACAUCACAGUAAGAGACCUUCUCAAAAAACAGAAACCAAAACAACAAUAGAAUACACCGCGAGAGAGACAUCACAAUAAGAGAUUUUUCAAAAGAAACUAAAAAUACAACAGCAAACAUAGCCAUAAACGCAGUAAAGCUUUUUUUCAAAACCCUAAAAAACGAAACAGAAGAAGGAGGCUUAUUUGGAGACGGGACGCAUCAAACUCAGCUUCAUCUUCUUCUCCUUCCAACGAAUCCUUCCAAACCUCCAAACGUGCACCUCUUCUCCUCCUUCGAUCGCGAACCCACACACUCCACACCCUCAUUUUCUA